UACGAAGGGGGCUAGCGUUGUUCGGAUUUACUGGGCGUAAAGCGCACGUAGGCGGAUCGUUAAGUCAGGGGUGAAAUCCUGGGGCUCAACCCCAGAACUGCCUUUGAUACUGGCGAUCUCGAGUCCGGAAGAGGUGAGUGGAACUCCUAGUGUAGAGGUGGAAUUCGUAGAUAUUCGCAAGAACACCAGUGGCGAAGGCGGCUCACUGGCCCGGUACUGACGCUGAGGUGCGAAAGCGUGGGGAGCAAACAGG
This 253-nucleotide ribosomal RNA is filed under the name uncultured bacterium. RNAcentral's name for it is "partial 16S ribosomal RNA". It matches the Rfam family "Bacterial small subunit ribosomal RNA", at positions 524 to 776 of the family's 1533-position model. The record is from RNAcentral.